This 253-nucleotide ribosomal RNA is filed under the name uncultured bacterium. Its description in RNAcentral is "partial 16S ribosomal RNA". It matches the Rfam family "Bacterial small subunit ribosomal RNA", at positions 524 to 776 of the family's 1533-position model. The record is from RNAcentral.
UACGGAGGGAGAUAGCGUUGUUCGGAAUUACUGGGCGUAAAGCGCACGUAGGCGGCUUUGUAAGUCAGAGGUGAAAGCCUGGAGCUCAACUCCAGAACUGCCUUUGAGACUGCAUCGCUUGAAUCCAGGAGAGGUGAGUGGAAUUCCGAGUGUAGAGGUGAAAUUCGUAGAUAUUCGGAAGAACACCAGUGGCGAAGGCGGCUCACUGGACUGGUAUUGACGCUGAGGUGCGAAAGCGUGGGGAGCAAACAGG